AAGAUCAUGCUUCACAGGAUCAGUUCUAGGAGUUGAUUUCAUUUUCCCUUCCUAAUAUGGGAGUAAACAUAACUACGAUGAGAAACUGUAGCGCUCUUCCUUCAGCAUAAGAAUGACAUGAGUCCUCGGCUUAUUUCGAAAUCUUUGUCAUCGAUGAUCGUUCAUCUUUUGCACUUAGUGCAAAGGAGAUGGGGAGCUGAGUUUUUUGAGUGU
Molecule: small nucleolar RNA, 213 nt
Organism: Cataglyphis hispanica
Lineage: Eukaryota; Metazoa; Arthropoda; Insecta; Hymenoptera; Formicidae
Product: small nucleolar RNA U3
Exons: 1
Source: RefSeq, a predicted model, not a curated record